UUGGGGGCUCUCCCAUAUGGUCGACCUGCAGGCGGCCGCGAAUUCACUAGUGAUUGUAUUACCGCGGCUGCUGGCACAGAGUUAGCCGGUGCUUAUUCUGUCGGUAACGUCAAAACACUAACGUAUUAGGUUAAUGUCCUUCCUCCCAACUUAAAGUGCUUUACAAUCCGAAGACCUUCUUCACACACGCGGCAUGGCUGGAUCAGGCUUUCGCCCAUUGUCCAAUAUUCCCCACUGCUGCCUCCCGUAGGAGUCUGGACCGUGUCUCAGUUCCAGUGUGACUGAUCAUCCUCUCAGACCAGUUACGGAUCGUCGCCUUGGUGAGCCAUUACCCCACCAACUAGCUAAUCCGACCUAGGCUCAUCUGAUAGCGCAAGGCCCGAAGGUCCCCUGCUUUCUCCCGUAGGACGUAUGCGGUAUUAGCGUCCGUUUCCGAGCGUUAUCCCCCACUACCAGGCAGAUUCCUAGGCAUUACUCACCCGUCCGCCGCUCUCAAGAGAAGCAAGCUUCUAUCUACCGCUCGACUUGCAUGUGUUAGGCCUGCCCCCAGCGUUCAAUCUGAGCCAUGAUCAAACUCUAAUCGAAUUCCCGCGGCCGCCAUGGCGCCCGG
Molecule: ribosomal RNA, 610 nt
Filed under: uncultured Gammaproteobacteria bacterium
Lineage: Bacteria; Pseudomonadati; Pseudomonadota; Gammaproteobacteria
Description: partial 16S ribosomal RNA
Source: RNAcentral